This 253-nucleotide ribosomal RNA is filed under the name uncultured bacterium. RNAcentral describes it as "partial 16S ribosomal RNA". It matches the Rfam family "Bacterial small subunit ribosomal RNA", at positions 524 to 776 of the family's 1533-position model. The record is from RNAcentral.
UACGGAGGGUGCAAGCGUUAAUCGGAAUUACUGGGCGUAAAGCGCACGCAGGUGGCUGAGUCAGUCGAUUGUGAAAGCCCUGGGCUUAACCUGGGAAUUGCAGUCGAUACUACUCAGCUAGAGUAUGGGAGAGGGUAGUGGAAUUCCCGGUGUAGCGGUGAAAUGCGUAGAUAUCGGGAGGAACAUCAGUGGCGAAGGCGGCUCACUGGACCGGUACUGACGCUGAUGCGCGAAAGCGUGGGGAGCAAACGGG